UAUAAAUUUUCCUACUCAUAUUGUAAUUAAUUUUUUCAUUAAAUAAUUUUUAAAUAAUUCAAUAGUUGUUUUAAGUAUUUAUCUUUCUUAGAUUUAAACAUACUACUCAACAUGUAUCAAGAACCAUAGAGUGGGAUUUGAAGAGAUGCUCUCAAUUAUUCCAUUUUUUUCCUUUUCUUUUUCAUUAAUUUUCCUUUUGCAAUUUUGCCGAGAAAAAAUCAGAUUUUUGAGCUUUCAUAUAUGUUAUAUAUCUCUUUCAUUUGCAGCAGUUCCGUAUUCUUUUCUUUUGUCGAAGAUCUUGUAUUCUUGUUGAAGAUAUUAUGGUGGCAAUGCUUGUUCUAGAAAAAUGGUUUUGCUUGUUAAAAGUGGGAGACAUUUCAGUAAUCAAGUAUCUAAUUGUAUUUGAUGUCUUGUCCUAGCCGUCAAAGUUUGAUGGAUUUUAUGCUAUUGAUUAUAUAAUUUUUUAAAGUUUAUUUAAUGAUUGAAGGUGUUUGGAGAUUCAUGUUUGUUCAUUCAAAGUUUCAUUGUUAAUUAAUUAUUAUAUUUUAGUACUAUGUUUUACUAUUAUUUUAAUUUUUUAAUAAUUUUUUAAUAUAUUUUUACUACAUAAUAUUUAUUUAUUUUUGUGCUUCGAUUUUAAAGUAGUAAAAUAAUUAUUAUUCUUAUUCUACUAUAUAUGGUAUUUAGAUAUUUUUUAAUUUUUUUUGUGUUUAUAUUUUAUGGUGGUUAAAUUUUUAACAAAAUUUAACAUUUGAAUAAGUUGAUUCUUGAUUCUAUUGGAUUGAGUGGCAAAGAGAUAAAAAAAGAAAAUAAAUUAAAUGAAAGUAUGUAGGUCAAAAAUUUCCACAAAAAUUAUAUACGUCGAUUGAUAUGAUUUUUUUCAUAUUUUUUUAUUAUUUGAUGUAAUUACGAC
This 913-nucleotide long non-coding RNA is filed under the name Cicer arietinum (chickpea). RNAcentral's name for it is "long non-coding RNA (CARI_LNC001391)". Lineage: Eukaryota; Viridiplantae; Streptophyta; Magnoliopsida; Fabales; Fabaceae. The record is from RNAcentral.